GACGAACGCUGGCGGCGUGCUUAACACAUGCAAGUCGAACGGAAAGGCCCUGCUUUUGUGGGGUGCUCGAGUGGCGAACGGGUGAGUAACACGUGAGUAACCUGCCCUUGACUUUGGGAUAACUUCAGGAAACUGGGGCUAAUACCGGAUAGGAGCUCCUGCUGCAUGGUGGGGGUUGGAAAGUUUCGGCGGUUGGGGAUGGACUCGCGGCUUAUCAGCUUGUUGGUGGGGUAGUGGCUUACCAAGGCUUUGACGGGUAGCCGGCCUGAGAGGGUGACCGGCCACAUUGGGACUGAGAUACGGCCCAGACUCCUACGGGAGGCAGCAGUGGGGAAUAUUGCACAAUGGGCGGAAGCCUGAUGCAGCAACGCCGCGUGCGGGAUGACGGCUUUCGGGUUGUAAACCGCUUUCGCCCGUGACGAAGCGUGAGUGACGGUAAUGGGUAAAGAAGCACCGGCUAACUACGUG
RNAcentral lists this ribosomal RNA (468 nucleotides) under uncultured bacterium. Its description in RNAcentral is "partial 16S ribosomal RNA". It matches the Rfam family "Bacterial small subunit ribosomal RNA", at positions 28 to 507 of the family's 1533-position model. The record is from RNAcentral.